This 253-nucleotide ribosomal RNA is filed under the name uncultured bacterium. RNAcentral describes it as "partial 16S ribosomal RNA". It matches the Rfam family "Bacterial small subunit ribosomal RNA", at positions 524 to 776 of the family's 1533-position model. The record is from RNAcentral.
UACGGAGGGGGCUAGCGUUGUUCGGAAUUACUGGGCGUAAAGCGCACGUAGGCGGUUUUGUAAGUUAGAGGUGAAAGCCCGGGGCUCAACUCCGGAAUUGCCUUUAAGACUGCAUCGCUAGAAUUGUGGAGAGGUGAGUGGAAUUCCGAGUGUAGAGGUGAAAUUCGUAGAUAUUUGCUAGAACACCAGUGGCGAAGGCGGCCAACUGGACCAUAACUGACGCUGAGGUGCGAAAGCGUGGGGAGCAAACAGG